UUAAGUUAUUAAGGGCGCACGGUGGAUGCCUUGGCACUAGAAGCCGAUGAAGGACGUUACUAACGACGAUAUGCUUUGGGGAGCUGUAAGUAAGCUUUGAUCCAGAGAUUUCCGAAUGGGGAAACCCAGCAUGAGUUAUGUCAUGUUAUCGAUAUGUGAAUACAUAGCAUAUCAGAAGGCACACCCGGAGAACUGAAACAUCUUAGUACCCGGAGGAAGAGAAAGAAAAUUCGAUUCCCUUAGUAGCGGCGAGCGAAACGGGAAGAGCCCAAACCAACAAGCUUGCUUGUUGGGGUUGUAGGACACUCUAUACGGAGUUACAAAGGACGACAUUAGACGAAUCAUCUGGAAAGAUGAAUCAAAGAAGGUAAUAAUCCUGUAGUCGAAAAUGUUGUCUCUCUUGAGUGGAUCCUGAGUACGACGGAGCACGUGAAAUUCCGUCGGAAUCUGGGAGGACCAUCUCCUAAGGCUAAAUACUCUCUAGUGACCGAUAGUGAACCAGUACCGUGAGGGAAAGGUGAAAAGCACCCCGGAAGGGGAGUGAAACAGAACCUGAAACCGUGUGCUUACAAGUAGUCAGAGCCCGUUAAUGGGUGAUGGCGUGCCUUUUGUAGAAUGAACCGGCGAGUUACGAUUUGAUGCAAGGUUAAGCAGUAAAUGUGGAGCCGUAGCGAAAGCGAGUCUGAAUAGGGCGUUUAGUAUUUGGUCGUAGACCCGAAACCAGGUGAUCUACCCUUGGUCAGGUUGAAGUUCAGGUAACACUGAAUGGAGGACCGAACCGACUUACGUUGAAAAGUGAGCGGAUGAACUGAGGGUAGCGGAGAAAUUCCAAUCGAACCUGGAGAUAGCUGGUUCUCUCCGAAAUAGCUUUAGGGCUAGCCUCAAGUGAUGAUUAUUGGAGGUAGAGCACUGUUUGGACGAGGGGCCCCUCUCGGGUUACCGAAUUCAGACAAACUCCGAAUGCCAAUUAAUUUAACUUGGGAGUCAGAACAUGGGUGAUAAGGUCCGUGUUCGAAAGGGAAACAGCCCAGACCACCAGCUAAGGUCCCAAAAUAUAUGUUAAGUGGAAAAGGAUGUGGCGUUGCCCAGACAACUAGGAUGUUGGCUUAGAAGCAGCCAUCAUUUAAAGAGUGCGUAAUAGCUCACUAGUCGAGUGACACUGCGCCGAAAAUGUACCGGGGCUAAACAUAUUACCGAAGCUGUGGAUUGUCCUUUGGACAAUGGUAGGAGAGCGUUCUAAGGGCGUUGAAGCAUGAUCGUAAGGACAUGUGGAGCGCUUAGAAGUGAGAAUGCCGGUGUGAGUAGCGAAAGACGGGUGAGAAUCCCGUCCACCGAUUGACUAAGGUUUCCAGAGGAAGGCUCGUCCGCUCUGGGUUAGUCGGGUCCUAAGCUGAGGCCGACAGGCGUAGGCGAUGAAUAACAGGUUGAUAUUCCUGUACCACCUAUAAUCGUUUUAAUCGAUGGGGGGACGCAGUAGGAUAGGCGAAGCGUGCGAUUGGAUUGCACGUCUAAGCAGUAAGGCUGAGUAUUAGGCAAAUCCGGUACUCAUUAAGGCUGAGCUGUGAUGGGGAGAAGACAUUGUGUCUUCGAGUCGUUGAUUUCACACUGCCGAGAAAAGCCUCUAGAUAGAAAAUAGGUGCCCGUACCGCAAACCGACACAGGUAGUCAAGAUGAGAAUUCUAAGGUGAGCGAGCGAACUCUCGUUAAGGAACUCGGCAAAAUGACCCCGUAACUUCGGGAGAAGGGGUGCUCUUUAGGGUUAACGCCCAGAAGAGCCGCAGUGAAUAGGCCCAAGCGACUGUUUAUCAAAAACACAGGUCUCUGCUAAACCGUAAGGUGAUGUAUAGGGGCUGACGCCUGCCCGGUGCUGGAAGGUUAAGAGGAGUGGUUAGCUUCUGCGAAGCUACGAAUCGAAGCCCCAGUAAACGGCGGCCGUAACUAUAACGGUCCUAAGGUAGCGAAAUUCCUUGUCGGGUAAGUUCCGACCCGCACGAAAGGCGUAACGAUUUGGGCACUGUCUCAACGAGAGACUCGGUGAAAUCAUAGUACCUGUGAAGAUGCAGGUUACCCGCGACAGGACGGAAAGACCCCGUGGAGCUUUACUGUAGCCUGAUAUUGAAAUUCGGCACAGCUUGUACAGGAUAGGUAGGAGCCUUUGAAACGUGAGCGCUAGCUUACGUGGAGGCGCUGGUGGGAUACUACCCUAGCUGUGUUGGCUUUCUAACCCGCACCACUUAUCGUGGUGGGAGACAGUGUCAGGCGGGCAGUUUGACUGGGGCGGUCGCCUCCUAAAAGGUAACGGAGGCGCUCAAAGGUUCCCUCAGAAUGGUUGGAAAUCAUUCAUAGAGUGUAAAGGCAUAAGGGAGCUUGACUGCGAGACCUACAAGUCGAGCAGGGUCGAAAGACGGACUUAGUGAUCCGGUGGUUCCGCAUGGAAGGGCCAUCGCUCAACGGAUAAAAGCUACCCCGGGGAUAACAGGCUUAUCUCCCCCAAGAGUUCACAUCGACGGGGAGGUUUGGCACCUCGAUGUCGGCUCAUCGCAUCCUGGGGCUGUAGUCGGUCCCAAGGGUUGGGCUGUUCGCCCAUUAAAGCGGUACGCGAGCUGGGUUCAGAACGUCGUGAGACAGUUCGGUCCCUAUCCGUCGUGGGCGUAGGAAAUUUGAGAGGAGCUGUCCUUAGUACGAGAGGACCGGGAUGGACAUACCUCUGGUGUACCAGUUGUCGUGCCAACGGCAUAGCUGGGUAGCUAUGUGUGGACGGGAUAAGUGCUGAAAGCAUCUAAGCAUGAAGCCCCCCUCAAGAUGAGAUUUCCCAACUUCGGUUAUAAGAUCCCUCAAAGAUGAUGAGGUUAAUAGGUUCGAGGUGGAAGCAUGGUGACAUGUGGAGCUGACGAAUACUAAUCGAUCGAAGACUUAAUCAA
This 2921-nucleotide ribosomal RNA is filed under the name Staphylococcus aureus VET0314R. RNAcentral describes it as "bacterial LSU rRNA". It matches the Rfam family "Bacterial large subunit ribosomal RNA". Lineage: Bacteria; Bacillati; Bacillota; Bacilli; Caryophanales; Staphylococcaceae. The record is from RNAcentral.